UACGAAGGGUGCAAGCGUUAUUCGGAAUUACUGGGCGUAAAGCGUGCGCAGGCGGCGCGUUAAGACAGGUGUGAAAGCCCCGAGCUUAACUUGGGAAUUGCGCUUGUGACUGGCGUGCUGGAGUGUGGCAGAGGGAGGUGGAAUUCCACGUGUAGCAGUGAAAUGCGUAGAGAUGUGGAGGAACACCGAUGGCGAAGGCAGCCUCCUGGGCCAGCACUGACGCUCAUGCACGAAAGCGUGGGGAGCAAACAGG
This 253-nucleotide ribosomal RNA is filed under the name uncultured bacterium. RNAcentral's name for it is "partial 16S ribosomal RNA". It matches the Rfam family "Bacterial small subunit ribosomal RNA", at positions 524 to 776 of the family's 1533-position model. The record is from RNAcentral.